RNAcentral lists this ribosomal RNA (80 nucleotides) under Pseudomonas aeruginosa. Lineage: Bacteria; Pseudomonadati; Pseudomonadota; Gammaproteobacteria; Pseudomonadales; Pseudomonadaceae. RNAcentral also lists the same sequence under 3 other names. The record is from RNAcentral.
CCUGGCGGCCUUAGCGCGGUGGUCCCACCUGACCCCAUGCCGAACUCAGAAGUGAAACGCCGUAGCGCCGAUGGUAGUGU